Molecule: transfer RNA, 72 nt
Filed under: Spirochaetales bacterium
Lineage: Bacteria; Pseudomonadati; Spirochaetota; Spirochaetia; Spirochaetales
Also listed under: 1 other name
Description: tRNA-Thr
Rfam family: tRNA
About the family: Transfer RNA (tRNA) molecules are approximately 80 nucleotides in length. Their secondary structure includes four short double-helical elements and three loops (D, anti-codon, and T loops).
Source: RNAcentral
GCCAAAGUGGCUCAGGGGCAGAGCAGCUCACUCGUAAUGAGCAGGUCCUCGGUUCGAAUCCGAGCUUUGGCU